AGUAACGCGUGGGUAACCUGCCUCGUACAGGGGGAUAACAGUUAGAAAUGGCUGCUAAUACCGCAUGAGCGCACAGUGCUGCAUGGCACAGUGUGAAAAACUCCGGUGGUAUGAGAUGGACCCGCGUCUGAUUAGCUAGUUGGUGGGGUAACGGCCUACCAAGGCGACGAUCAGUAGCCGGCCUGAGAGGGUGAACGGCCACAUUGGGACUGAGACACGGCCCAA
RNAcentral lists this ribosomal RNA (225 nucleotides) under uncultured bacterium. Its description in RNAcentral is "partial 16S ribosomal RNA". It matches the Rfam family "Bacterial small subunit ribosomal RNA", at positions 109 to 334 of the family's 1533-position model. The record is from RNAcentral.